CCGCUCCGACCGAGCCCAGUAAUGGGGCGAGGUGUCGCGGCGGCGUUCCUGCACGCCUUGUCGGCCUUGGAGCUAGCCUUGGCGGGGGCGGGCCGAGGCGUCGCGGCGGAGGAUGAUAAGCAGACGGGCACGCGCCGCCGGCGCGCUUGCCGUGGGUGUCCGCUUCGCCCGAGCCCAGGAGUGGGGCGAGGCGUCGCGGCGGCGUUCCUACGCGCCUUGUCGCCCUCGAAGCUGGCCUUGGCGGGCCGAGGCGUCGCGGCAAGGCGGCCGGCGUGCUCUGUUGGGGCGAGGCGUCGCGGCGCUCCGGCUCCGGCAGAUGACGACAGAGAGCCAGGUGUGGCUUGGCGUCGCCAAGAGCCACGAGGUCGUCGGCGCCGGCCACCGCGCCAGGCUGGACCAGCUGCUGCAGCCCUCCUGCGCCGUCGCCGUCGCCGUGGCACAAGAAGCGCGAGUUCCCCCUCGUUGUCGGAGGCUGGGUGUCGUUCUGUAGUGCAGAUUGUCUAAUCGAGUUUCUGAAAGCGUCGUCCACGUCUGCCACUUCAUGGGUCCAUACACUGGGAACUCACGCCUGAGAACUUCCUGCUCACCAGAUUUGAUUUCAGUUUCUCUGUCUCCAUCGAAGAAGUGGCAAGCAUGGCUAGGGCGAGCAACGAGGGUUCCUGUAGUGCAUAACCAUUUCAAGUCGCCCAAGUUCUAAAGAGAGAUCAGAAGUGCCAGCUACUGAAGCAAAAAAAAAGGACCUGAUACAAAUUAUAAUCAUGGACUGCUGAUAUACCUGAUGCAUUUCUUCAUGAUGGUCGAUUUCCUUUUGCCAGAUCUUACAUGUUUAAUUAUGUGUGCUCGGAACCAAAAACUGAUUGAGAUCUUCAGUUCUUACUUGCAGAUGUUCUGUUAUUCAAAGUAAUUCAGUUUCCAGUCUCUGUGUAUUAAUCAAAUUAUGGGUUAUUUUCAACCAUAUAGGCUUUUAUUAUAUGUUCAGUUAUGCUUCCAUGGGUUUUGCAUAUGUAUUAACAAAACAACCAGACUGCUAUUCUGUAUAUACUUGGAUCAAAGGGUGUACAAUUAAUUUGCUCUUACGAAAGGAAUGAGUAGGCAGCUAGCAGAAUGAGAGGACAAUCAUGACAAGCGAACCAACACAUAAAUAGUAAUACCACAAUUUUUACAACUCCAUUUCACUUUACUUUUGUAUGGAUAUGCAUUUUUAUCCUUGGAGUAUUUGGAUUUUAAGUGGGAAUCAUUGGUUCUUUCUUCUUAAUAUUUUACUUCUUAUAAUUACAAAUACCAAUUUUAGAGAAUUGAGCUCGUACUUAAAAUUCAAUUGAGUGUGAAGCCACUGACCAUUGUGUGAAAGAAACAAUUAGAACCAACUGAUCUUUUUUUAGAUAUAUGAAACUUGCAUUUGUUUUGUUAAUUCUUCUGCAGUGCAGGUGAUAUUCCUAAUGGUUGCUGCUGACGCUGAAAAAAUUACGCCUGAAGCACUAGAAGUUCCCUCUCUAUGGCACAUCACUCACUGGAUCCAGAUGGGCAACAUUCCGCUUCAAGAUUAAAGAGUACAAUUUUUGCAUGCUAUCAUUGCUUAUCCAAGAGUAAUCUACCAUGUGCCUAAUAUAUAUACAUGAUUGUUGCACCAUCACAAGAUUUCCAUUAUAUAAAUGGGCAUAACUUUCUUUACUGUGAAUUAAUCAACGUGAUGCUUCUGUUUUAAGGAAUGGCAAUGCUAAAUUCUACAGUGGUACUCUCUACUCUGUCGAAUGUUUACAAACACCAGAAAGCUAGAGAUCUAUUGUGGAAAACUUUCUUUCUUUUGUUUGUUAUAACUUCUUAGUGUAAAAAUAAAUAUGGCUUGUCCAUUACGAAACAAAUAUGUAAGAUUUAUUACUUUUCAAAGUUGAAUUGUUCCUGACAAUUACAUAUGAGAGUGCAUAUAAUUGAGUUGUGCUGAUUUGCUGUUUCUAAAAUGAUAAGCUGGAGCUGGAGUUACAUAUGAGAGUAGAGAUAAUUAAGUUGUGCUCCUGACUUGAUUAACAAAAGCUGCAGAAGAAAGGGACAAAAUACCAGAAAGCUGAAAAUUCAAAGAAAGGUGGAAGUAGGGAACUACACAACUUGAUUCAAGGUUACAAAGGGACAAAGGGCAUUGAUUGAGCAGGAGAAAACAAUAAUGGGCCAAGGCAAGGAUAUAGUGCUCAAUUAGUAAAGAGAUAUGUGGGAAGUGGGGCAGCGGGAUGCAAAUGGAAUUUUUGUGACUCACUGAAGGUGAGCAAAACUUCAGAAAAGAAAUUGCAACCGAAGUAGAGCCUCAUCACCAAGAGAACAUAGGGAUUUUAAGUUUUUUGUAGCCUGCACCGGAGACUGUAGAGAGAGCGGGGCAUUGUGGGCAUUAAUUGUGUGUCAAAGCCUCAAGGGAAGGGAGGACCAAGGAGAAGCCAAGCCGAGAAGGAGAUAACAUUCGGGCCUAGGCCACUCUUACUAGGUGGUGCCCGAGCCCGGCCUAUGGAGGCACGCGGGACAGCGGGAGUUUGAGGGACUAGGCCACUGGGCCUCGAGUUGCACACAUACAUACAGGACCCGCCCUUCCAACAUGAAACAAGUCCACAACAAUAUAAGUCAAAAUCGAGUGGGAGUAUGAGGGAUUACGUAUGGAUCAGAUGCACAGUAUAACUAUUUAUUGAACGGUCUCAUAUGGUGAAAAUUGAGGGUUCUUGUAUACAUGGCGCGGUCCGGUUCGAUGUCUCGUGGUCACAUGCCUAGGCCGCCUCAAUGAUUGAGCUGAGUUACAACCAGGAGCACCAUGCCUCUCAUAAAGAAUCAUAGAAUGGUCUAUACGACGUUCAUUGAUGGAGAGUGUAGACAUGCAAUGUGACUGCACUAUACUCGGGAGAAGAUCAUGUUUCCGUAAACAUUCCAGCAACAGCAAUCCAGGGCCUUCUUCUUCUGCUAGUUGUUUUUCUCCUGGGCUUGCUCCUUCUUCUCCUGGGCGUGCUCCUUCUUCUCCUACAACAGCAGCAACAGCAGGUUAAUGACAACAGUAGUUUGACAACAGCAGCAGGUCAAUAACAACAGCAUCAACUCCUAGGAAUGCUUUAAUUUAGUC
Triticum dicoccoides is the source of this 3091-nucleotide long non-coding RNA. RefSeq lists it as uncharacterized. NCBI's taxonomy places the organism in Eukaryota, Viridiplantae, Streptophyta, Magnoliopsida, Poales, Poaceae. The record is from RefSeq and is a predicted model, not a curated record. The transcript has 4 exons.